AAAGUCUCAACAUAGGAAAAACCGAAAACUAUGAAGCGAGGGUCAAGGGUGGACUGGCAACAGUUUCAUCUGAAGCAGACCGACAACGGGAAAUAUGGAACCUCAGUAUGAGGCUCAGAGAUCUCUACGCGAAGCCGCAGGCUUGAAUGUGAGUGAACCUACAAGUAGCGUCGUAAUAUGUACCUCCAGUAAUGGAGUGAAGGAAUGUGCCGAUCCUGUCCAUGUAUGGAGAAGGCAGUACCAGAUACCAACAAAUUCGGUAGGGGUAUCUGGACAUCCCGGCGUAGCAGGGCU
Ferroplasma sp. Type II is the source of this 294-nucleotide non-coding RNA. NCBI's taxonomy places the organism in Archaea, Methanobacteriati, Thermoplasmatota, Thermoplasmata, Thermoplasmatales, Ferroplasmaceae. The record is from Rfam.